Molecule: unclassified non-coding RNA, 915 nt
Filed under: Hevea brasiliensis (rubber tree)
Lineage: Eukaryota; Viridiplantae; Streptophyta; Magnoliopsida; Malpighiales; Euphorbiaceae
Source: RNAcentral
UAACUGGACAGAAAGAUGAAAACUGCCGCCAAACACAGAAGAUCAGUGUAGCUUGCUGGCCAACCUAGAGUUUCUUCUUGAAAUAAUCUCAGCUGCCCAGCUCUUUCCUAUUUCAGUCUGAAAUUUUCCUGCUGUUGAAAGGAAAAACUCAUCCAGCACCUUCCCAUGUUCCAGUUCAUACUCCAAUGCUUGCAAAAUCAUCUCAACUUUGUCAAAAUCUUUCACAAGGUUGGCCUCCAAGGAAGCAUUGUUUUCAUACUCUGCCCAUAAUUCUUUGAUCUCCACAGCCCUCAUUCCUCCACCAAGAACUUCACACAUUUCAUUUAAGGCUGCUUGCUCCCGUCUGCUCUUUUCUUGUUUAGGCACACCAUCAGCUGGUGUUAUAUCUCCAACAAUAGCUUCUGCUAUAUCAUGCACAAUUGCAAUCUUUAUACACCUUUCUCGGUUCACACCAGGAAGAUCGCCAGCUAUGAGAGCCAUCAGAGCCAUGCGGUACAUAUGGUCAGCAAUUGAUUCUGGGCCCUUUAUCCCAUGGUUGAUCCAUCCCUUCCGUUUUGUGGUCUUCAACCGAUGACACAAUGUGAGGAAAUCAAUCGCAGACAUAGCGGAAGCACCUAAGGACUCAACAUGAGAAUCAGACUCCACCACGGAUCUCGUGUGGCCCAAACCAUCCGAACUAGGCAUUUGAGAGCGAACCAAAACGAUUCUCGAAGACGGAGCUUCGUUUAAGAAAGCGGGUCGUGAUGAGACCCGAUUGAAGAAGGCGAUUGGCGAGCGAGGAGAUAGAGAGCGACCCAGCUGAGGCGCACACUGAAUUGAUGGAUUAACCGCCAUUGUUGGUUGAUGCUGUUGUGGAGAUCUAAACAGGAAGACAGAAAAGAAAAAAGAGCUGGAUUGAGAAAGAGAGAGUCGUUU